GUUGUCUUGCUGAGAUGGUACCCAGGGUUCCCCCGUCCUCUGAUGAAAAUAUUUUUUGUUCUCUGAUGAUAGAGUGAUUUAGUUCAACAAUUUACCUGAUGUUCUAACAGCCGUUCCAUCAUCUGACGUUUCUUCCCUGGACCAGGAGAAGGUGGAAAUGUUAGACCAACCCUUGGUGGAAAAAACUGACCCUUGAUGACAGUCUGGCUGCUGAUCUAAUAUAUUAUCUUCUACUCAGAGGGCUCUGAGUGAACCAGUUUACAGCAGGACUGGCUCCAGAGAGAGGUGACGCUAAGAUGAUGAUGAAGUGGUGUCCACGGCUGAGCUGGGCUUGUCACCUUAAUCAGCUGGAACGUCUCUCAGCUCAGCUGAGCUCCUUACAAGGAGCUGUGGGGUGUGGUCUGAGAUCUGGAGAGACUUGGAACAGGCCAACCAUGUCAUGAUCUGACCAGGUUGCCUCAGCUUUGAGACACCAACGGGAAGCAACACACAACUGGUGUGAGUCACUUGUGCCCCUAAUAGCUGAGGGCCUUGGCUUCUAGCCACUGCUCUCUCCCCUAAGACCAAGAGGAGCUGCGUACCCCAAGCCAAUGUCAGAGGGCGCCAUCGGCCAGGCGAGCUGGGCGCAGUCAGGCUGCGGCUUGACCUGUCACAGCUGCUCCACUGGGCCCAUCCGGAGCUUCCAGGGUGUCCAGAGGGAUUUCUCCCUGAAUCAUCCCCAACUUCACUCUCUCUGCUGGUGCUCAUCCGCACUCAUCCGCAACAGUGACUUCACUUCCUACCUACAUUACAUGUCAUACUGUCUUCCAGAGCUGCAAAGUAAAUAACCAUUUUACUGAAAUAAAAAUCGAGCCACAGUCAGAGGUGCCCAUCCCUCCCCUCACCACUCCUUUCUGAUUGUGACCUGGGUAAGUUGGCAGCCUCACUUAACCUCAGUUUCCUCGUCAGUCGCUCAGGGAGAGAAGCAGGACACUCUCACUAAGCAGUGAGGAAAAAGUGAGAUCACAUUUGCAAAGCACUUGGUACCCAGAAGAUGCUCAACAAAUAUCAUUUCUCUUCAUUGAUUGGGGAAGGCUUCAGUUACUUUUAAAAUCUCCAUGAACCCCCAGAGAGAAGCUCUUCUGACUAGAGAACCCCAAAUCUCUCCCUUUACAGAAAUUCUGAUUUCCUUUCCUUCACUAUUUGUUUUUUCUUUAUUCACCUUGGUGCUUUUUCUUCUUGGUGGACUUGAAAUACAUUACUAUAAAUAUCAUAUUUUAAAAUACUAAAUAUGCACAU
This is a long non-coding RNA of Eubalaena glacialis (North Atlantic right whale), 1278 nucleotides long. RefSeq lists it as uncharacterized. The record is from RefSeq and is a predicted model, not a curated record. The transcript is spliced from 3 exons. NCBI's taxonomy places the organism in Eukaryota, Metazoa, Chordata, Mammalia, Artiodactyla, Balaenidae.